Molecule: ribosomal RNA, 1157 nt
Filed under: human vaginal metagenome
Description: bacterial SSU rRNA
Rfam family: Bacterial small subunit ribosomal RNA
Source: RNAcentral
CGAUCAGUAGGGGUUCUGAGAGGAAGGUCCCCCACAUUGGAACUGAGACACGGUCCAAACUCCUACGGGAGGCAGCAGUGAGGAAUAUUGGUCAAUGGACGCAAGUCUGAACCAGCCAAGUAGCGUGCAGGAUGACGGCCCUAUGGGUUGUAAACUGCUUUUAUAUGGGGAUAAAGUGGGGAACGUGUUCCCUUUUGCAGGUACCAUAUGAAUAAGGACCGGCUAAUUCCGUGCCAGCAGCCGCGGUAAUACGGAAGGUUCGGGCGUUAUCCGGAUUUAUUGGGUUUAAAGGGAGCGUAGGCCGUUUGGUAAGCGUGUUGUGAAAUGUAGUAGCUCAACUUCUAGAUUGCAGCGCGAACUGUCAGACUUGAGUGCGCACAACGUAGGCGGAAUUCAUGGUGUAGCGGUGAAAUGCUUAGAUAUCAUGAAGAACUCCGAUUGCGAAGGCAGCUUACGGGAGCGCAACUGACGCUGAAGCUCGAAGGUGCGGGUAUCGAACAGGAUUAGAUACCCUGGUAGUCCGCACAGUAAACGGCAACGGUGAAACUCAAAGGAAUUGACGGGGGCCCGCACAAGCGGAGGAACAUGUGGUUUAAUUCGAUGAUACGCGAGGAACCUUACCCGGGCUUGAAUUGCAGAUGAACGAUUUAGAGAUAAUGAGGUCCUUCGGGACAUCUGUGAAGGUGCUGCAUGGUUGUCGUCAGCUCGUGCCGUGAGGUGUCGGCUUAAGUGCCAUAACGAGCGCAACCCCUUUCUUUAGUUGCCAUCAGGUUCUGCUGGGCACUCUGGAGAUACUGCCACCGUAAGGUGUGAGGAAGGUGGGGAUGACGUCAAAUCAGCACGGCCCUUACGUCCGGGGCUACACACGUGUUACAAUGGGUGGUACAGAUAGUUGGUCGUGUGCAAAUACGAUCUAAUCCUUAAAACCAUUCUCAGUUCGGACUGGGGUCUGCAACCCGACCCCACGAAGCUGGAUUCGCUAGUAAUCGCGCAUCAGCCAUGGCGCGGUGAAUACGUUCCCGGGCCUUGUACACACCGCCCGUCAAGCCAUGAAAGCCGGGGGUGCCUGAAGUUCGUGACCGUAAGGAUCGACCUAGGGCAAAACUGGUAAUUGGGGCUAAGUCGUAACAAGGUAGCCGUACCGGAAGGUGCGGCUG